GUGCCAGCAGCCGCGGUAAUACGAAGGGUGCAAGCGUUACUCGGAAUUACUGGGCGUAAAGCGUGCGUAGGUGGUGAGUUAAGUCUGUCGUGAAAGCCCCGGGCUCAACCUGGGAAUGGCGAUGGAUACUGGCUCGCUAGAGUGCGGUAGAGGAGAGUGGAAUUCCCGGUGUAGCAGUGAAAUGCGUAGAGAUCGGGAGGAACAUCAGUUGCGAAGGCGGCUCUCUGGACCAGCACUGACACUGAGGCACGAAAGCGUGGGGAGCAAACAGGAUUAGAUACCCUGGUAGUCC
Molecule: ribosomal RNA, 292 nt
Filed under: uncultured bacterium
Lineage: Bacteria
Description: partial 16S ribosomal RNA
Rfam family: Bacterial small subunit ribosomal RNA
Source: RNAcentral